RNAcentral lists this ribosomal RNA (301 nucleotides) under uncultured bacterium. RNAcentral describes it as "partial 16S ribosomal RNA". It matches the Rfam family "Bacterial small subunit ribosomal RNA", at positions 509 to 807 of the family's 1533-position model. The record is from RNAcentral.
CAGUAGCCGCGGUAAUACGAAGGGGGCUAGCGUUGUUCGGAAUUACUGGGCGUAAAGAGCGCGUAGGCGGCCAUUCAAGUUAGAUGUGAAAGCCCUGGGCUCAACCUAGGAAUUGCAUUUGAUACUGUUUGGCUUGAGUUCGGGAGAGGUGAGUGGAAUUCCCAGUGUAGAGGUGAAAUUCGUAGAUAUUGGGAAGAACACCAGUGGCGAAGGCGGCUCACUGGACCGACACUGACGCUGAGGCGCGAAAGCGUGGGGAGCAAACAGGAUUAGAUACCCCAGUAGUCCCUGUCUCUUAUAC